This 354-nucleotide ribosomal RNA is filed under the name Triticum aestivum (bread wheat). Its description in RNAcentral is "partial small subunit ribosomal RNA". Lineage: Eukaryota; Viridiplantae; Streptophyta; Magnoliopsida; Poales; Poaceae. The record is from RNAcentral.
AUGAUCAGGCAUGCGUACGACAUCCUGGAGCACGCCCUGGUGGAGCACGGCAGGAGGCUCGGGGUGCCGCGCGUACCCCGCCACAACUUCGGUCUCUGCUUCCGCGUGACGUGGGCCAUCUUGUCGCACUGGCCGACGGUGACGCUGCACUUCGAAUCCGAGCAGGACCUUGUGCUCACGCCGAAAAAGCUGUUUGUCCUGCAGGAUCAAGACAUGUGCCUCACCGUGAAACCGAACCCGCAGAUUACCGUCAUCGGCCCAGCGACGCAAGUGGGCACGCGCUUCGUCUACGACCUCGCCGCCAGCAGGGUGUACUUCGCCCCUGAAAACUGCAAUGCCGACACUGGCGUCUAG